RNAcentral lists this ribozyme (88 nucleotides) under Aedes aegypti (yellow fever mosquito). Its description in RNAcentral is "drz-agam-1 ribozyme". It matches the Rfam family "drz-agam-1 ribozyme". Lineage: Eukaryota; Metazoa; Arthropoda; Insecta; Diptera; Culicidae. The record is from Rfam by way of RNAcentral.
UGCUCAGCAACUCCUAUCCCUACCUAUUUGCGGUACUGGCCGGGGUGCGAACAUCCUUAGGGAAGAUCGUGUAACCAGACAGGAAAGG